CGUAGGGCGUAGCGUUGUCCGGAAUCAUUGGGCGUAAAGACGCGCGUAGGCGGCCCGGUAAGUCCGUUGUGAAAGUCAAAGGACUCAACCUUUGAAUGCCGAUGGAUACUGCCGGGCUCGAGUCCGGAAGAGGCGAGUGGAAUUCCUGGUGUAGCGGUGGAAUGCGCAGAUAUCAGGAGGAACACCAAUAGCGAAGGCAGCUCGCUGGGACGGUACUGACGCUAAGGCGCGAAAGCGUGGGGAGCGAACAGGAUU
This 255-nucleotide ribosomal RNA is filed under the name uncultured bacterium. RNAcentral's name for it is "partial 16S ribosomal RNA". It matches the Rfam family "Bacterial small subunit ribosomal RNA", at positions 526 to 779 of the family's 1533-position model. The record is from RNAcentral.